Molecule: ribosomal RNA, 429 nt
Filed under: Gemmatimonadota bacterium
Lineage: Bacteria; Pseudomonadati; Gemmatimonadota
Description: Gemmatimonadetes bacterium partial 16S ribosomal RNA
Rfam family: Bacterial small subunit ribosomal RNA
Source: RNAcentral
UAGGGAAUCUUCGGCAAUGGACGAAAGUCUGACCGAGCAACGCCGCGUGAGUGAAGAAGGUUUUCGGAUCGUAAAACUCUGUUGUUAGAGAAGAACAAGGACGUUAGUAACUGAACGUCCCCUGACGGUAUCUAACCAGAAAGCCACGGCUAACUACGUGCCAGCAGCCGCGGUAAUACGUAGGUGGCAAGCGUUGUCCGGAUUUAUUGGGCGUAAUGCGAGCGCAGGCGGUUUAUUAAUUCUGAUGUGAAAGCCCCCGGCUCAACCGGGGAGGAUCAUUGGAAACUGGUGUACUUGAGUGCAGAAGAGGAGAGUGGAAUUCCAUGUGUAGCGGUGAAAUGCGUAGAUAUAUGGAGGAACACCAGUGGCGAAGGCGGCUCUCUGGUCUGUAACUGACGCUGAGGCUCGAAAGCGUGGGGAGCAAACAGG